RNAcentral lists this long non-coding RNA (473 nucleotides) under Elaeis guineensis (African oil palm). Its description in RNAcentral is "long non-coding RNA (EGUI_LNC077892)". Lineage: Eukaryota; Viridiplantae; Streptophyta; Magnoliopsida; Arecales; Arecaceae. The record is from RNAcentral.
UGGUUAAUUUCUUCUCUUCCUUCACUUAAUAAAAUCCUCAAAAAUUAUUAGAUCCCUAAAAUGAUUAAGUUAUAGUAAUAACUAAGUAAUAGCCUCCCAUUAAGUGAGUGAUAAUGAGUUCAUUAGUUUAAUAAUCAUUGGAGGCCCAAAGGCCUGGUGCUUAUUGACUAAUGGAAUUAUCAUUCAUAGUAUGAUAAUUUGGUUGAGUCUUUCUGAUGGUGGUCAGGUUGGCCGGCCAAAGUCGGGCCUGAUCAUUUAUUGGUCCGAUUCACCAAAUCAAGUCAUGUUAAUGGUUGGACCUAACCAGAUCUUUUCAAUGGAGGCUAAAGCCUACUGAUUAGGUUCUGGGGCAAAAUUAAUUACUAGAAGUUGUUUAGAGAAACAACUGGUUAUGAACCUACCCAUAGAUGCACAUGGGUUGACCAACCAAAGUUGGGCUCGUGUGUAGUCUGUGUGGAUUCUAGUACCCACUA